This 460-nucleotide ribosomal RNA is filed under the name uncultured bacterium. Its description in RNAcentral is "partial 16S ribosomal RNA". It matches the Rfam family "Bacterial small subunit ribosomal RNA", at positions 338 to 795 of the family's 1533-position model. The record is from RNAcentral.
CCUACGGGUGGCUGCAGUGAGGAAUAUUGGACAAUGGGCGGAAGCCUGAACCAGCAAAGUCGCGUGAGGGAAGACGGUCCUAUGGAUUGUAAACCUCUUUAGGCGGGGAGCAAUGCAGGGCACGCGUGCCCGGAGGGAGAGUACCCGCAGAAUAAGCAUCGGCUAACUCCGUGCGAGCAGCCGCGGUAAUACGGGGGAUGCGAGCGUUAGCCGGAUUUAUUGGGUUAAAAGGGUGCGUAGGCGGAUUUUUAAGUCAGCGGUAAAAUGUCCGGGCUCAACCCGGGCCGGCCGUUGAAACUGGGGAGCUGGAGUGGGCGAGGAGUAAGCGGAAUGCGUGGUGUAGCGGUGAAAUGCAUAGAUAUAACGCAGAACUCCGAUUGCGAAGGCAGCAUACCGGCGCCCGACUGACGCUGAGGCACGAAAGCGUGGGGAUCGAACAGGAUUAGAUACCCUUGUAGUC